Non-coding RNA from Onthophagus taurus, 583 nucleotides. NCBI's taxonomy places the organism in Eukaryota, Metazoa, Arthropoda, Insecta, Coleoptera, Scarabaeidae. The record is from RefSeq and is a predicted model, not a curated record.
AUUUAUGUUACUUGUAAAUUUUUUUAUAUUGUAAUUUUUUUUAAGCGACAGAAUCUGGAGAUCCUUUUUUCCCUUCCUAUUAUUCCUUCAUUUGUACGGAAUUAUCAUUAUAAAUUUUCUUUUCUUUCUAUUCUUUUCUUAUAUUUCGCCUUCUCUUUAAUAGAUGUCAUUUUCUUAAUUCUUUACUUAUUUUAAAUUUCAUACGGAAAAGUUAUUGCGCGCAGGUCGAGUUUUUUUUUUUUAAUUGGAUUUAGGUUUUCGAAGAGGAAGUCUCACUCUUUUUGGUGGCACGAGACUCAACGUGUAGCGUCGUUGUGUAGGCGUUUUGGUUGACAUUUUGAGUGAUUCAUUUGGUCAUAAUUUGAUUUAACGCAUCCGAAUUAAUCGGGAUCAUCACAUCGACAAUUUAUUUGAGAACAAGUUUAAGUUCUUUCUUACGGUUAACCCGGCUAUUUUGCGUUUUGAGUCGAUUUACUUUUCACACGUGCGAGGCCUUUAACAUCUGAGGCCUCCUAUUUUGGGAUAUUAUUAUUCCGGGAAUAGUUUCUUUGGAUUUUUACGUUGGGAUUUUUCCAUUCCAAAA